CGACGGGAGCUUGCUCCCUUAGGUCAGCGGCGGACGGGUGAGUAACACGUGGGUAACCUGCCUGUAAGACUGGGAUAACUCCGGGAAACCGGGGCUAAUACCGGAUGCUUGAUUGAACCGCAUGGUUCAAUUAUAAAAGGUGGCUUUCAGCUACCACUUGCAGAUGGACCCGCGGCGCAUUAGCUAGUUGGUGAGGUAACGGCUCACCAAGGCGACGAUGCGUAGCCGACCUGAGAGGGUGAUCGGCCACACUGGGACUGAGACACGGCCCAGACUCCUACGGGAGGCAGCAGUAGGGAAUCUUCCGCAAUGGACGAAAGUCUGACGGAGCAACGCCGCGUGAGUGAUGAAGGUUUUCGGAUCGUAAAACUCUGUUGUUAGGGAAGAACAAGUACCGUUCGAAUAGGGCGGUACCUUGACGGUACCUAACCAGAAAGCCACGGCUAACUACGUGCCAGCAGCCGCGGUAAUACGUAGGUGGCAAGCGUUGUCCGGAAUUAUUGGGCGUAAAGCGCGCGCAGGCGGUUUCUUAAGUCUGAUGUGAAAGCCCCCGGCUCAACCGGGGAGGGUCAUUGGAAACUGGGGAACUUGAGUGCAGAAGAGGAGAGUGGAAUUCCACGUGUAGCGGUGAAAUGCGUAGAGAUGUGGAGGAACACCAGUGGCGAAGGCGACUCUCUGGUCUGUAACUGACGCUGAGGCGCGAAAGCGUGGGGAGCGAACAGGAUUAGAUACCCUGGUAGUCCACGCCGUAAACGAUGAGUGCUAAGUGUUAGAGGGUUUCCGCCCUUUAGUGCUGCAGCAAACGCAUUAAGCACUCCGCCUGGGGGAGUACGGGUCGCAAGACUGAAACUCAAAAGGAAUUGACGGGGGGCCCGCACAAGCG
RNAcentral lists this ribosomal RNA (883 nucleotides) under Bacillus licheniformis. Its description in RNAcentral is "bacterial SSU rRNA". It matches the Rfam family "Bacterial small subunit ribosomal RNA", at positions 70 to 931 of the family's 1533-position model. Lineage: Bacteria; Bacillati; Bacillota; Bacilli; Caryophanales; Bacillaceae. The record is from RNAcentral.